RNAcentral lists this long non-coding RNA (276 nucleotides) under Bos taurus (domestic cattle). RNAcentral's name for it is "long non-coding RNA NONBTAT019034". The record is from RNAcentral. Lineage: Eukaryota; Metazoa; Chordata; Mammalia; Artiodactyla; Bovidae.
GCUGCUGGCAGGGUCUCUCUACUUCGUUUUCCCCAGAGGCUCUGGGAGUCAAACUAAAAAGUUCAAGUCUCCCCUAUCCCUAGUGACCCCAGACCUCAGAAGAACCCAUGAGUAUGAGUGAAUUCAGGAAUGUGUACAAGAAUUCUCGGAUAUGAUCACUUUCUCCCUCUUCUUGACACUCAGUUAUAAUUUGGGAGAUCUGGGAAGGUGGGGGGGGGGUCACUGAUCCCCCCAUUUUAGAGCCAAUCUUAGAGCACAUGUCAUGGAUUCCAUGCA